Molecule: ribosomal RNA, 429 nt
Filed under: Verrucomicrobiota bacterium
Lineage: Bacteria; Pseudomonadati; Verrucomicrobiota
Description: Verrucomicrobia bacterium partial 16S ribosomal RNA
Rfam family: Bacterial small subunit ribosomal RNA
Source: RNAcentral
UAGGGAAUCUUCCGCAAUGGACGAAAGUCUGACGGAGCAACGCCGCGUGAGUGAAGAAGGAUUUCGGUUCGUAAAACUCUGUUGUUAGGGAAGAAAAAAUGUAUAGUAACUAUAUACAAAAGAGACGGUACCUAACCAGAAAGCCACGGCUAACUACGUGCCAGCAGCCGCGGUAAUACGUAGGUGGCAAGCGUUGUCCGGAAUUAUUGGGCGUAAAGCGCGCGCAGGUGGUUUAGAAAGUCUGAUGUGAAAGCCCACGGCUCAACCGUGGAGGGUCAUUGGAAAAUAAUAAACUUGAGUGCAGGGGAGAAAAGUGGAAUUCCUAGUGUAGCGGUGAAAUGCGUAGAGAUUAGGAAGAACACCGGUGGCGAAAGCGGCUUUUUGGCCUGCAACUGACACUGAGGCGCGAAAGCGUGGGGAGCAAACAGG